Molecule: transfer RNA, 66 nt
Filed under: Menida lata
Lineage: Eukaryota; Metazoa; Arthropoda; Insecta; Hemiptera; Pentatomidae
Description: tRNA-Phe
Source: RNAcentral
AUUUGAGUAUCUUAAAAUAAAGUAUAACUCUGAAGAAGUUAAUAUGGGUGUAAUACCCCUCAAAUA